This 616-nucleotide long non-coding RNA is filed under the name Heterocephalus glaber (naked mole-rat). Its description in RNAcentral is "lncRNA (ENSHGLG00100037036.1)". Lineage: Eukaryota; Metazoa; Chordata; Mammalia; Rodentia; Bathyergidae. The record is from RNAcentral.
ACACGAAAUGAGUCCACAGCGCAGAGCAGGCAGCCCCUCUGGAACCUGAGAUUAUUUGUUCCCUCACUAUUCUAAAGGGAAAGAUUUGAAGACCCACCCAAUGAUGCCCUCCUGGCCCUGAAACUUCUUGUCAAAUGAACAAAGAAAUGCACUGAAAACGUUAUUCACAGACAACUAAACUGAAAGCAUAAUUCUCAUAAGGAAUUGGAACAGAUGAGGAAGCAGAGGCUUAUAGAGCUAAGGCCCUUGGGGUUGCAGAGAGAGGCUGUGCUGGAGUCUGCCUCCACCUGUGAGGGUCCAAGGAAACAGCAGCAGGGAUGUCAUCCUCCUUUCCUGAUGCCCACGGAGUGGGAGGGAGGAUGAAGCCUUCAUUCUGUGGGGCUGCCAAGCUACACCCUCAUCCAGUGCUGCAGGAACAAGGGAGCAAGCGGGGCACACGCAGAUGAAGGGAUGGUGCUUGUUUUUCCCUCUGAACCCCCCACCCCACCGGCCUCCCCAAUGACAUUCUGAUCUUUGCCACCUUCCGUCUCCUGCAUCAGUAAUGCCCAAGCCUCUAGCCCCAUAGUGGUUUCUGUUUCCCUGAUCCAGCACUUUUUCCUCAGUGCAUUAUUUUCCC